Molecule: ribosomal RNA, 909 nt
Filed under: uncultured archaeon
Lineage: Archaea
Description: bacterial SSU rRNA
Rfam family: Archaeal small subunit ribosomal RNA
Source: RNAcentral
GGACCCCACUGCUAUCGGGAUGGGACUAAGACAUGCUAGUCGAGCGUCUCCAAGCUAUGGAAGAGACGCGGCACACAGCUCAGUAACACGUGGCUAACCUGCCCUUGGGACAAGGACAACUCCGGGAAACUGGGGCUAAUCCCUGAUAAGUGAGAACUCCUGGAAUGGAUUCUCGCUCAAAGGACGUUUAGACCAUGCUUCUAAGCGUCGCCCAAGGAGGGGGCCGCGACCGAUCAGGUUGUUGGUGAGGUAACGGCUCACCAAGCCUUUAACCGGUACGGGCCGUGAGAGCGGAAGCCCGGAGAUGGGCACUGAGACAAGGGCCCAGGCCCUACGGGGCGCAGCAGUCGCGAAAACUCCGCAAUACACGAAAGUGUGACGGGGCCAUCCCGAGUGCCAUCCGCUGAGGAUGGCUUUUCCCCAGUGUAUAAAGCUGGGGGAAUAAGGAGAGGGCAAGCCUGGUGUCAGCCGCCGCGGUAAUACCAGCUCUCCGAGUGGUGGGGAUGUUUAUUGGGCCUAAAGCAUUCGUAGCCUGCUUGGCAAGUCCUCCGUCAAAUCCAACGAUUCAAUCGUUGGGCUGCGGGGGAUACUGUCCGGCUAGGGGGCGGGAGAGGCCGACGGUAUCCUCGGGGUAGGGGUGAAAUCCUAUAAUCCCGGGAGGACCACCAGUGGCGAAGGCUGUCGGCUAGAACGCGCUCGACGGUGAGGGAUGAAAGCUGGGGGAGCGAACCGGAUUAGAUACCCGGGUAGUCCCAGCUGUAAACGAUGCAGGCUAGGUGUUGGCGCGGCUACGUGCCGCUCCAGUGCCGCAGGGAAGCCGUUAAGCCUGCCGCCUGGGAAGUACGGCCGCAAGGCUGAAACUUAAAGGAAUUGGCGGGGGAGCACCACAAGGUGUGAAGCUUGCGGUUU